This 253-nucleotide ribosomal RNA is filed under the name uncultured bacterium. Its description in RNAcentral is "partial 16S ribosomal RNA". It matches the Rfam family "Bacterial small subunit ribosomal RNA", at positions 524 to 776 of the family's 1533-position model. The record is from RNAcentral.
UACGAAGGGGGCUAGCGUUGCUCGGAAUCACUGGGCGUAAAGCGCACGUAGGCGGCUUUCUAAGUCAGGGGUGAAAUCCUGGAGCUCAACUCCAGAACUGCCUUUGAUACUGGAGAGCUCGAGUCCGGGAGAGGUGAGUGGAACUCCGAGUGUAGAGGUGAAAUUCGUAGAUAUUCGGAAGAACACCAGUGGCGAAGGCGGCUCACUGGCCCGGUACUGACGCUGAGGCGCGAAAGCUAGGGGAGCAAACAGG